This 241-nucleotide long non-coding RNA is filed under the name Lathyrus oleraceus (garden pea). RNAcentral describes it as "Pisum sativum (pea) long non-coding RNA (PSAT_LNC003616)". The record is from RNAcentral. Lineage: Eukaryota; Viridiplantae; Streptophyta; Magnoliopsida; Fabales; Fabaceae.
AAUACACUAUAUCAAUUUGGCACAACAUUGAUUCAAAAAUUCACACAUAAAAAUCCAGACAUCCAAAAUUCAUGAAAUUAACAUCAUAAAAAAGUAGACAUCAAUACAAAACCAUGAAAAAAAAUUGGGACUCAUUUGGAUCAUUUUUGCAUUUUUAAUGAUUUAAACAAAACAAGCAAAAUAAUUGAAAUAACAAAUGAAAAUGGAGGGAAACGAAUUAAUUUGAAUAAAUCCAGAAAAA